Molecule: ribosomal RNA, 450 nt
Filed under: uncultured bacterium
Lineage: Bacteria
Description: partial 16S ribosomal RNA
Rfam family: Bacterial small subunit ribosomal RNA
Source: RNAcentral
GUGGGGAAUAUUGGACAAUGGGCGAAAGCCUGAUCCAGCCAUGCCGCGUGUGUGAAGAAGGUCUUCGGAUUGUAAAGCACUUUAAGUUGGGAGGAAGGGCAGUAAGUUAAUACCUUGCUGUUUUGACGUUACCGACAGAAUAAGCACCGGCUAACUUCGUGCCAGCAGCCGCGGUAAUACGAAGGGUGCAAGCGUUAAUCGGAAUUACUGGGCGUAACGCGCGCGUAGGUGGUUUUGUAAGUUGGAGGUGAAAUCCCCGGGCUCAACCUGGGAACUGCCUCCAAAACUGCAUGACUAGAGGACGGUAGAGGGUAGUGGAAUUUCCUGUGUAGCGGUGAAAUGCGUAGAUAUAGGAAGGAACACCAGUGGCGAAGGCGACUACCUGGACUGAUACUGACACUGAGGUGCGAAAGCGUGGGGAGCAAACAGGAUUAGAUACCCCUGUAGUCC